RNAcentral lists this transfer RNA (76 nucleotides) under Candidatus Dadabacteria bacterium. Its description in RNAcentral is "tRNA-Phe". It matches the Rfam family "tRNA". From Rfam's summary of the family: Transfer RNA (tRNA) molecules are approximately 80 nucleotides in length. Lineage: Bacteria; Pseudomonadati; Thermodesulfobacteriota; Candidatus Dadabacteria. The record is from RNAcentral.
GCCCAGGUAGCUCAGUCGGUAGAGCAGCGGACUGAAAAUCCGCGUGUCGGUGGUUCGAUUCCGCCCCUGGGCACCU